This 363-nucleotide ribosomal RNA is filed under the name uncultured bacterium. RNAcentral's name for it is "bacterial SSU rRNA". It matches the Rfam family "Bacterial small subunit ribosomal RNA", at positions 29 to 417 of the family's 1533-position model. The record is from RNAcentral.
AACGAACGCUGGCGGCAGGCUUAACACAUGCAAGUCGAACGGUUGUAGCAAUACAGCAGUGGCAGACGGGUGAGUAACACGUGGGAACCUUCCUAGGGGUACGGAACAACUCAGGGAAACUUGAGCUAAUACCGUAUACGUCCGUGAGGAGAAAGAUUUAUCGCCCUUAGACGGGCCCGCGUAGGAUUAGGUAGUUGGUGGGGUAAUGGCCUACCAAGCCUACGAUCCUUAGCUGAUCUGAGAGGAUGAUCAGCCACACUGGGACUGAGACACGGCCCAGACUCCUACGGGAGGCAGCAGUGGGGAAUCUUGGACAAUGGGCGCAAGCCUGAUCCAGCCAUGCCGCGUGAGUGAAGAAGGCCU